RNAcentral lists this ribosomal RNA (869 nucleotides) under uncultured bacterium. RNAcentral describes it as "bacterial SSU rRNA". It matches the Rfam family "Bacterial small subunit ribosomal RNA", at positions 1 to 829 of the family's 1533-position model. The record is from RNAcentral.
GGAUCCAGACUUUGAUUAUGGCUCAGGAAUAAACGCUGGCGGCGCACAUAAGACAUGCAAGUCGAACGGAAGUCGUUGUAAUGAAAUAGAAACGGACAGAGAACUUGUUCGAAGAAAGUGGAAGUAGACUUACAACAAAGGCUUUAGUGGCGGACUGGUGAGUAACGCGUAAGGGAACCUGCCUUCUAGAGGGGAAUAACAAUGAGAAAUCAUUGCUAAUACCGCAUAUGCCGAGAGAAUCACAUGGUACAAUCGGGAAAAGAGUAAUCUGCUAGAAGAUGGCCUUGCGUCUGAUUAGAUAGUUGGUGGGGUAACGGCCUACCAAGUCGACGAUCAGUAGCCGGACUGAGAGGUUGAACGGCCACAUUGGGACUGAGAUACGGCCCAGACUCCUACGGGAGGCAGCAGUCGGGAAUAUUGCGCAAUGGAGGAAACUCUGACGCAGUGACGCCGCGUAUAGGAAGAAGGUUUUCGGAUUGUAAACUAUUGUCGUUAGGGAAGAGAAAGGACAGUACCUAAGGAGGAAGCUCCGGCUAACUACGUGCCAGCAGCCGCGGUAAUACGUAGGGAGCGAGCGUUAUCCGGAAUUAUUGGGUGUAAAGGGUGCGUAGACGGGAAGAUAAGUUAGUUGUGAAAUCCCUCGGCUUAACUGAGGAACUGCAACUAAAACUGUUUUUCUUGAGUGCAGGAGAGGUAAGUGGAAUUCCCAGUGUAGCGGUGAAAUGCGUAGAUAUUAGGAGGAACACCAGUGGCGAAGGCGACUUACUGGACUGUAACUGACGUUGAGGCACGAAAGUGGUGGGGGAGCAAACAGGAUUAGAUACCCUGGUAGUCCACCACCGUAAACGAUGGAUACUAGGUGUAGGAGG